This 484-nucleotide ribosomal RNA is filed under the name uncultured bacterium. RNAcentral's name for it is "partial 16S ribosomal RNA". It matches the Rfam family "Bacterial small subunit ribosomal RNA", at positions 30 to 507 of the family's 1533-position model. The record is from RNAcentral.
AUUGAACGCUGGCGGCAUGCCUUACACAUGCAAGUCGAACGGUAACAGGUCUUUCGGGCUGCUGACGAGUGGCGAACGGGUGAGUAAUACAUCGGAACGUGCCUAGUAGUGGGGGAUAACUACUCGAAAGAGUGGCUAAUACCGCAUGAGAUCUAUGGAUGAAAGCAGGGGACCUUUGGUCCUUGUGCUACUAGAGCGGCCGAUGGCAGAUUAGGUAGUUGGUGGGAUAAAAGCUUACCAAGCCUACGAUCUGUAGCUGGUCUGAGAGGACGAUCAGCCACACUGGAACUGAGACACGGCCCAGACUCCUACGGGAGGCAGCAGUAGGGAAUUUUGGACAAUGGGCGCAAGCCUGAUCCAGCAAUGCCGCGUGCAUGAUGAAGGCCUUCGGGUUGUAAAAUGCUUUUGUACGGAACGAAAAGUCUUGGGUUAAUACCCUGGGAUCAUGACGGUACCGAAAGAAUAAGCACCGGCUAACUACGUG